Long non-coding RNA from Platichthys flesus (European flounder), 339 nucleotides. RefSeq lists it as uncharacterized. The transcript is spliced from 3 exons. The record is from RefSeq and is a predicted model, not a curated record. Lineage: Eukaryota; Metazoa; Chordata; Actinopteri; Pleuronectiformes; Pleuronectidae.
UAAUACUCAAGGUUAAAUUGGAAGGGACAUAUAUAAGCAUGUCAUCUAAAAGGACGUAUCUCUCUGGUGCCCAAAAACGGAAAAAGAAAAGGACAGAAGAUGAGAAAAAAGAGCAAGAUAAAGGAACACUGUUGAAGUAUUUUGGAGCACAACCAACUGUACCUGCCCCCGAUGUGUCAUCAAGUGUCAGUGCCUCCACAGCUGAUGAUACAGCAGGUUCACCCCCAGCAGACUUACAGUCACCUGAAAGUGAGGAAGAACUUUUACCCAUUGAGGAACAGUUACCAGCAUUGACAGUCACUAAUACACCGACUUCAACCUCUGCCGGCAUGACAGGUC